Molecule: ribosomal RNA, 484 nt
Filed under: uncultured bacterium
Lineage: Bacteria
Description: partial 16S ribosomal RNA
Rfam family: Bacterial small subunit ribosomal RNA
Source: RNAcentral
AUUGAACGCUGGCGGCAGGCUUUACACAUGCAAGUCGAGCGGCAGCGGGGACUUCGCCCUUGGAUCCAGCGGCGGACGGGUGAGUAAUGCCUCGGAACCUGCCUGGUAGUGGGGGAUAACGUCCGGAAACGGGCGCUAAUACCGCAUACGUCCUGAGGGUGAAAGCGGGGGACCUACGGCCCUCCCGCUAUUGGAGCGGCCUAGGUCGGAUUAGCUAGUUGGUGGGGUAAAGGCUUACCAAGGCGACGAUCCGUAACUGGUCUGAGAGGAUGAUCAGUCACACUGGAACUGAGACACGGUCCAGACUCCUACGGGAGGCAGCAGUGGGGAAUAUUGGACAAUGGGCGAAAGCCUGAUCCAGCCAUGCCGCGUGUGGGAAGAAGGUCUUCGGAUUGUAAAGCACUUUAAGUUGGGAGGAAGGGCAGUAGGUUAAUACCUUGCUGGGUUGACGUUACCAGCAGAAUAAGCACCGGCUAACUUCGUG